CUGUGCAAACAUUUGUCAUAGUGUGCUGUUGUCUUUUGUGGACAUCUUUGUCUCCCCACUCAGCCUGGUGGCAACUGGAGGUCGAGCCUGGAAGAAAGCCGUCCUCAGCACAGACUCGGUGAAGGAAUGAACACAUGAACGGAGAGAGAGAGAAAGCACAAGCAAGGGGAGGGGCAGACGGAGAGGAAGAGAGAAUCCCAAGCAGACUCUGUUCUGGGUGUGGAGCCCAGUACAGGAUCCCAGGAUCAUGCGAUCACAAUGUGAGCUGAAAUCAAGAGUCAGCUGCUUAACUGACUGAACCACCCAGGUGCCCUGCUCGGUAAAUCUUUUAUUGAAUAACUACGUACUGCAAAAAAAGUGAGCUAAUCAUAAUUAUGUACUCUAUGAGCUUUUGCAAAAUGAACACACCUGUGUAACCCGUACUCAGAUCAAGAACCAGAACAUUCUCAGUAUCCUGGGAGUCCCUUCCUGCUGCCUGCCUGCAUGGUUUCCCCUAAAGGUUCCUGCAAGGAUUGCAUGAAAUCACAGAUGGAAAGCCAUUAACACAGUGCCUGGCAGACGGUCUGAUGUAAGUUGGCCAGAACUUUACAGCUCAGCCUCUGUCUCUUCAGAAAGUCUGAAGGAGGGGGUGCCUCCUAGUCCUUCAUCCCCCUGCAGCUGGCUGAGCCAACUCACCU
Molecule: long non-coding RNA, 677 nt
Organism: Mustela lutreola (European mink)
Lineage: Eukaryota; Metazoa; Chordata; Mammalia; Carnivora; Mustelidae
Exons: 3
Source: RefSeq, a predicted model, not a curated record